RNA transcript from Rhincodon typus (whale shark), 2745 nucleotides. It is a transcript of the gene named oocyte zinc finger protein XlCOF15-like, with no coding region annotated. The record is from RefSeq and is a predicted model, not a curated record. The transcript is spliced from 3 exons. Lineage: Eukaryota; Metazoa; Chordata; Chondrichthyes; Orectolobiformes; Rhincodontidae.
GAAGCUGAACUGAUGGCUGAACGGGCGGACGAUCAGGAUAUUGGAAAGGGAGCAUUUCCGGAUCAGGAACAUAAAUCAAACAUGACAUUGAGAUUUACCAGUCAUUUGACCGAUCAGUACCUGAAGGUCAUCAGCCUUUCAAUGAAGGAGGGAGAGUUGUUUGCCUGUUCUGUUACUGGGAAAAGAUUUCGGGCAUCUGUGUGACUCAAAGCACUGAGAAACUUGCACCUGAGUGAGGAUAUUACAGUGCACUGGCUGUGGAAAGAGCAGUAACGAGUUACCCAGUGUGCAAUAAAUCAUUGCACCAUUCAGAUCUGGAAGAGACUUUACGUGUGUUUGAGAACCACAAGACAAUAAGAAACAGGAGCAGAGUUAGGCCAUUCAGCCCAUCGAGUCUGCUUCACUGAUCGUGCCUGGUAUGUUUUUUAACCCCAUUCUCUUGCCUUGAUCCCCUUGCCAAUCAAGAAUCUAUCUAUCUUUGUCUUAAGUGCACCUCAGUGACUUGGCCUCUACAGCCCUCUGCAGCAAUGGGUUCCACAGUGUAACCACCCACUGGCUGAAAAAAUACCUUGUCAUCUCCUUUCAAAAAGGUAGUCCCUUUACCCUGCGGCUGUGCCCUCUGUUCCUCAUCCCUCCUACUGGUAGAAACAUCUUCUCUACUUCCACUGUAUCCAGGAAUCCUGCUAUUUAUUCAGUUUCAAUCAGGUCAUUCUUCAUCCUUCUAGACUCCAUAAGCAAGGCUUUGACUGCUCAUCCAACCUGGGGAGGCACAAGGACACGCACCGCAUGGCGAAGCCGUGGAUUUGUGGGGACUGUGGGAAAGCAUACAGUUACCCAUGUCAACUGGAAACUCAUCGGCGCAGUCACACCGGGGAGAGGCCAUUCACUUGCUCAGUGUGUGGGAAGGGAUUCACCCAGUCUUGCACACUCCAGAGACACCAACGGAUUCACACAGGCGAGAGGCCGUUCCUCUGCCUGUACUGUGGAAAACGAUUUAAUGCUUCAUCAAAUCUCCUGACUCACCAACGAGUUCACUCUGAUCACAGACCAUUUAAAUGUCCUGACUGUGAGAAGAGCUUUAAGAGCAAGAAGGACCUGUUGAGACACCAGCGCACGCACACGGGGGAGAGGCCAUUCAUCUGCUCUGUGUGUGAGAAGGGAUUUGUUCUGACAACACACCUCCUUCGACACCAGCGAUUUCACACCGGGGAGAGGCCAUUCACCUGCUCGGAGUGUGGGCAGAGGUUCACCGUUCCAUCCGACCUGCUGACACACCAGCGCAUACACACUGGCGAAAGACCAUUUGUCUGCUCUGUUUGUGGGAAAGCAUUCACUCAUUUAUCCAGCCUAAACACACACCAACUAGUUCACAGUGACCAGAAACCUUUUCAAUGUCCCGACUGUGAAAAGAAAUUCAAAAGCAAAUGGAAUCUUCUGUCCCACCAACGCAGUCACACUGGAGAGAGACCAUUCACCUGUGCUGUGUGUGGCAAGGGCUUUGCUCAGUCAAACAAACUGCUGAGACACCAGCGUAUUCACAGUCAGCAGCAGGGGUUUGAUUCUGCUGGUAUUGCUGGGGUUAAUCUGAUCCAGAAUUGAACUUGGUUCAUUCUGAUAGUUGGAAAAUGUUAAUGUGUUUUUGCUAAAUUUAGUAGCUGGCCUAGAUUGUAACAUUCUGGAUAAAUAUGAAGUGAAACAAUUUCAUUUGCAGUACACUGCAACGAUUUGUCUUUCCCUCCCGGAAAUAUCUCAGAAAGGAUAAUAGCAUUGAGGGAAAACCCAGCAGAAGAUCUGAAAUGAAAAGUCAAGGUUUCGGGAGGAAUUCAGGUCUGGCGAAGAUAUUAGUUAACUUUGUUUGCAUUUCAAGUCUUUUUCGGACAAGACAACUUGGGUGAAAGCAUGUGUGGGUGGAAAAGAAUUUUUGCCUGGAUACAGAUAACAAGGUGUAGAGCUGGAUGAACACAGCAGGCCAAGCAGUAUCAGAGGAGCAGGAAGGCUGACGUUUCGGGCCUAGACCCUUCUUCAGAAAUCCUGGAUACAGUCCUUCAAGGCUACACAAAGAGAUUCUCCAACACAGAGAGAUGCAAGGCCACCCACAACAUGGAAAAGGCAUAGAAAUGCAUGGGCUGUGAGAAGUGAUACAAAUUACCAUCUGAUGUGGAAAUUCACCAGUAUAGUCAUAUUCGUCUGAGUGGGGCAAGGGAUUCACUCAGUCAUCCGUCUGUAUAAGCACCAGGGAAUGCACUCCGGGGGAAACCGUUGAGGCGUCUCGAGUGUGGGAAGGGAAUCGAUCAGUGAACCCAGCUCACUUCAGACAAAUUUGUUCCCUUUGAGGAAAAGUCUUCUAUCUAACUGUGGAAGAGGUUCAAAAGCUGGUUCUCCAUUCACACCAGCACCGUCACUUAGGGAGAAUGUUUGUGUGCGCGCAGAUACAUCUGUAAGUAAAAGUAAAAGACUCGGCUAACCAGCCUCACUUCACACCAAUCUCUUCACUCUGACAAGAGGACUUUACAACAUUACGCCUGUCUGAAAAGCUUCGUAAUCUUGGCUGACCUUCAGAGAUACCAGUGCAUUCAAACCAGAGAAACCAUUCACUUGCCCAGUGUGUGGAAAGGGUGAGACACCAACAGGCGCAUAAAGUGACUGCAACAUUCAGACUAUGCAGUUCAUAUACAUCAUCAAAUGGAGUGGGGUGGUGGUGGGUGGCGAGGUGCAGGCUAACAGAUAAAUUUGCAGGUGACACGA